This 253-nucleotide ribosomal RNA is filed under the name uncultured bacterium. Its description in RNAcentral is "partial 16S ribosomal RNA". It matches the Rfam family "Bacterial small subunit ribosomal RNA", at positions 524 to 776 of the family's 1533-position model. The record is from RNAcentral.
UACGAAGGGUGCAAGCGUUGCUCGGAAUUAUUGGGCGUAAAGGGUAGGUAGGUGGUUACGUAUGUCUGGGGUGAAAUCCCUGAGCUUAACUCAGGAAGUGCCUUGGAAACGGCGUAACUAGAGUGCUAUAGAGGUUCGUGGAAUUCCAGGUGUAGCGGUGAAAUUCGUAGAUAUUCGCAAGAACACCAGUGGCGAAGGCGGCUCACUGGCCCGGUACUGACGCUGAGGUGCGAAAGCGUGGGGAGCAAACAGG